This 198-nucleotide unclassified non-coding RNA is filed under the name soil metagenome. RNAcentral describes it as "partial contains 5.8S ribosomal RNA, internal transcribed spacer 2, and large subunit ribosomal RNA". The record is from RNAcentral.
AACGCACGAGACCUGCGGACCUGCGGAAGGAUCAUUACCGAGUUUACUCAACUCCAAACCUUUGUGAACCUACCACUGUUGCUUCGGCGGGAUCGUCCUGGGAGACCAGGCGCCCGCCGAGGGACCCAAACUCUUGUAUUCCAGUGGAAUCUUCUGAGUAUCGAUUGAAUAAAUCAAAACUUUUAACAAUGGAUCUCU